RNAcentral lists this ribosomal RNA (254 nucleotides) under uncultured bacterium. RNAcentral describes it as "partial 16S ribosomal RNA". It matches the Rfam family "Bacterial small subunit ribosomal RNA", at positions 524 to 776 of the family's 1533-position model. The record is from RNAcentral.
UACGGGAGGGUGCAAGCGUUAUCCGGAUUCACUGGGUUUAAAGGGUGCGUAGGUGGGUUGGUAAGUCAGUGGUGAAAUCUCCGGGCUUAACCUGGAAACUGCCAUUGAUACUAUCAAUCUUGAAUACCUUGGAGGUGAGCGGAAUAUGUCAUGUAGCGGUGAAAUGCUUAGAUAUGACAUAGAACACCAAUUGCGAAGGCAGCUCACUACACGGUCAUUGACACUGAGGCACGAAAGCGUGGGGAUCAAACAGG